ACGCUCCGGUGGCCUAGUGGUUAAAGCAUCUGCCUCAGAUGUGGAAGGUCGUGGAUUCGAUCCCCGGUCCUGUCAUA
This is a non-coding RNA of Potamilus streckersoni, 77 nucleotides long. NCBI's taxonomy places the organism in Eukaryota, Metazoa, Mollusca, Bivalvia, Unionida, Unionidae. The record is from the annotation of a GenBank genome assembly.